Molecule: transfer RNA, 61 nt
Filed under: Ictidomys tridecemlineatus (thirteen-lined ground squirrel)
Lineage: Eukaryota; Metazoa; Chordata; Mammalia; Rodentia; Sciuridae
Description: Spermophilus tridecemlineatus (thirteen-lined ground squirrel) tRNA
Rfam family: tRNA
About the family: Transfer RNA (tRNA) molecules are approximately 80 nucleotides in length. Their secondary structure includes four short double-helical elements and three loops (D, anti-codon, and T loops). Further hydrogen bonds mediate the characteristic L-shaped molecular structure. tRNAs have two regions of fundamental functional importance: the anti-codon, which is responsible for specific mRNA codon recognition, and the 3' end, to which the tRNAs corresponding amino acid is attached (by aminoacyl-tRNA synthetases). tRNAs cope with the degeneracy of the genetic code in two manners: having more than one tRNA (with a specific anti-codon) for a particular amino acid; and 'wobble' base-pairing, i.e. permitting non-standard base-pairing at the 3rd anti-codon position.
Source: Rfam by way of RNAcentral
UGUAGCUCAGUGGUAGAGUACUUGCCUCGAAUACAGGAGGCUCUGGGUUUGAUCCUCAGCA